UGUGCUAACCCUGCAAGUCGAAUAGAAGAGACAGAGGAGGGGAGGUGACGGAGAGGACACUUUUAGAUGUCACUAAAAUGGUACUGAUGAAAACAAGCUGAGUUCCUUCCUGCUCUUGUUCACGUGAGGCCGUUCUCGUACGUCCUUGUUUUUCAUGACACAUGAGGACACCAUUCCCAGGUCAGGACUGCUUGUGUUGUAUUCAGCACCGAAUUGAUACAAGAUGAGAAAACAUUGUGCACUUAUUUGAACAUCCACAGUACAUCAGUGUGAGCAACUGCUUCAUCAACAGAUGUUCUUUUUUAUAGCCUCCCCCCUUUUUCUUCUCAUGCCCCUCACCGUCUCCUCCUUCAUCACUGCUGGUUGGAAUUGAAUUAUCAUCCUCAACAUUAGGAAGGACCAGGAGAAGCAGCAGAGUUUUGCCAUGAAGGCAGGCGGAGAUCUGUGAGUGUGUGUUAAGUGGCACGACGUGAGGCGUUGUUGCUGAUUUCCACAGCUUCGCUCAAAACACUCCUGCUGAGUUAAUAAAUCCGACCUCUGCUUAAUUAAAAUAACAGACCAUCCUCCACUGAGGAGAGAGAGGAAAAAAGACACUUUGAGAAUUAUUCUAAAUCGUGUGUUAAUUAAGAUUUAGUAAAAACAAAAAGAAACCUGUCAGGGAACGUGUGUGUGUGUGUGUGUGUGUGUGUGUGUUGUGGUAAAUUAUAGGUCAGGAGCAGCUGCGUGUGGACUCUAAUGCAGGGAGAAGUUACAAAUCCUCUGGAGGAGAGCAGCGUUACAGCUGCUCUGGUAAACUAUUAGACAUCUAGUCAAACUAAUGUGUAAAUGCUAAUAUAUACAGCAUACCUCUAUUAACAUAUCUGGAGUGCAGAGGCAAAUCCCCUUUAAAAUGGACGACCCAACAAGAAAAUAAUCACAUUUACAAGGGCUUAUUUAGGGAUCCGAGGGUAAUGCAGCCUUUUCUGCGGCAACAGUCGGCGCUGCCCCAUUAAUUGCUAAUUUUGUAGCGUUGCUCUCUUGACCGUGGAAGGUGAACAGGGCCAGAAAACAGUCACAACAUAAUGAUUGCGUUGUAAUAACUGCAUCUUCUGUCUCAUCAUGAAUCUUGGCCCCAGCAUCCAUGAGGGCUCUAAUUCUCCAGCAAGGAGUGUUAAGAGGAUAUCAUUACCACUUUUUUUUUUUUUUUUUUUUUUUGUAAAGUAAGCUUCAGAUUUGGUUAAAUAUAGUAGCAUUUUUUUCCACCCAGUUUUGCAUUGAAGCUGGGUCAAGCCGACCCCUCCCAUGGCAAUUCUUUUCAAAGGCAGCUGCCAAAGCGCCUCCUCUGCCACAAAUGUAGCCAGUAUCGAUGCCAUGCUUAAAAAACUGAUUGAAAAGAGACUUACAUGUUUCAAAGCAUGCUGGGAGCUGGGGGCCCGGCAAAAGCCCAGAGUAUUAAAGCUGAGAUACUCAACAGAAUAUGCUAUAAAAAGGAAACAUAUGCCCAUAGGUCCAACGGUGCAAUAAUUAAUGCAUGUAUGUGAUUCUGAAGAUUUUCCAGAGUGGUAAUAUUUUUGGUAAAUCUUCAUGUUCUGGCCUACUUUUCAUUUGUGAGAAGAACAAUUCUGUUAAAAAAAAUAACUUAAACUUGCAAACCAUAUUUGUGAUAUUUAUAUUUUAACAGAAAGAAUAGUUUAGAGGGAAUGAAAAGAUUUUUUUAUUUGGUUUGGGUUUUCUUUUCUUUUUAAAUGUCACACUGAAGGUAAUUAGGUCACGGCAGUGCAAACAUUUGUUACUUCGAGGAUUCAUCUUCGUAUCAAUUCAAGCUGCCUAUGAAGGACACAGCAGCUGGUGAAAGAGACGUAAAGACGCGUUACUGCUGACAGUGUUAAUUGAUGAAAGUGUGAUUCAUGGACCCUGCCAUUGUCCCCACGUUCUCAAAGAUCACCUCAAACAGUAUCAACAGCACAUUUUUGACGAGACAUUUUUAAUUAGUCCGAGCCAAUGAGUAAAUGCCUGGAUCUUUGCAGCCGAUAUAAGAAGAUGAUGAUGAAGAAACACCCCCCUCCACCACCAUCCCCUCCUCCUCCCUCUCUCCUAUUCAGCCAAAUCCCCAAAGAGUCCUAUUGUUAUCUCAAUAUACUGUUCGUCUCUAAAUCGGAGAACAUAAUAGAAACUCUGUGGUGAGAAGUGUGGCGCUGUGCACAACGUUUGCAUAUUUAUUCAGCUGUCACAUCUAUCUGAGCAGAUCAUCAGAGGAGAUAAACUAAAGAGAUGAGGGAAUAAUGGCUCUCGCUGAGAGACUGCUGAGUGACACCAGCAUAUUCCUGGAAAACACCAGAAACUGAGUAAACAGGGAAGAAAUGAAGAAGGGAAAAAAAUCUACAAAGCCAUGAGAUUGAAAAUGAGCUGCGGUUAAUGACGGUGAUGACAACAGUGAUGAAGAAGAUGUGAAUAUCAUUUGAAUGAUGGAAGGUUUUUGAAGAAGUAACGAGGCAAACAAAGCAGAGCUGCAAACUUUUCUAUUCAAAAUUGUUACUUCAAAAAGAGAAGAUUUUGACUUUUUUAGGGGUCACAGAGUUUUUAACUAAGGCGGCGUACACUAUUUAAAAUAAAAAAUGAAACAUUUACGUGAAAUAUAAAUAAAAAUCUCCCCAUCUUCUCUCCACAUUAACCUGUCUGUGUAACUCCCCAAUCGUUAGCAUCACACACACAAGCAGUGGGCAGUAUUUGUCAGUGUUGAGAGGUUAGAACCCCAAACGUCCAAUUACAGGAAGAUUCUUCAACCGCUGGGCCACAGGAUGCUCCAAAUAUGACGUCGUUUUGAACAUUUGAUUCCAAAUCAAACAUUCAAGUUGAAAUUAGGAGUAGCACUGGCAACGGUACAUUUGAUUUCCUCUCCACACAUGUAAGUAUCUCUAUUUAAACAGAUUGUAGAGUCUAAAUGCUGCACUUGUUAGAAUCACUGACCUUUUAUUUCACAUAUGUAGACGCCAUCAGUGAGUGAGACUGUCACAGGGACCUAUGUGUCAUCUGUUCUUCAAUGUAUACAGAUACAUGCACGCGCGCGUGCACUCAAUGAGGACAGUUAAUUGAACAAUAUCCAGGAAAUGACAGGAGGACAGUGAGCGUAAUCCCUGCUCAAUGGUGCCAUCUAGUGUUUCUUCAGGGUAGCCCCACGGAAGCUAAAGCUACCACUGCUACCGCUGCCCUCUGUCAGGAAGUUGGUCAACAUUACAUAAGUGACCAAGUGCCGAACCUCAGAUGUUGUCUACUGACAGGGAGCUGAAAAUACAGUCAAGCAAAACUACAGGUAAUAGAUUAGACUUGUGUCACAAAAAGCAU
This is a long non-coding RNA of Cynoglossus semilaevis (tongue sole), 3321 nucleotides long. RefSeq lists it as uncharacterized. NCBI's taxonomy places the organism in Eukaryota, Metazoa, Chordata, Actinopteri, Pleuronectiformes, Cynoglossidae. The record is from RefSeq and is a predicted model, not a curated record. The transcript is spliced from 8 exons.